RNAcentral lists this small RNA (163 nucleotides) under Phascolarctos cinereus (koala). Its description in RNAcentral is "TUC338 (ENSPCIG00000026743.2)". The record is from RNAcentral. Lineage: Eukaryota; Metazoa; Chordata; Mammalia; Diprotodontia; Phascolarctidae.
UUGACAGCCCUGGGAACUGAAGUCCUCUACAUGUCCACAGAACAGAUACAGCAUGGGUAGUGCAAACUUCCCUAGCUCCACACCUUUUAUGAAUCUCAGCCCUGCCUCAAAAACGACUACCCUGAGGGAUCCAUCUUCAAGGCCCAAUCACUGGUGACUUUGU